UACGUAGGUGGCAAGCGUUGUCCGGAAUUAUUGGGCGUAAAGCGCGCGCAGGCGGUCCUUUAAGUCUGAUGUGAAAGCCCACGGCUCAACCGUGGAGGGUCAUUGGAAACUGGGGGACUUGAGUGCAGAAGAGGAAAGCGGAAUUCCACGUGUAGCGGUGAAAUGCGUAGAUAUCUGGAGGAACACCUGUGGCGAAGGCGGGUCUCUGGACAGUUCCUGACACUGAGGCACGAAGGCCAGGGGAGCAAACGGG
RNAcentral lists this ribosomal RNA (253 nucleotides) under uncultured bacterium. RNAcentral describes it as "partial 16S ribosomal RNA". It matches the Rfam family "Bacterial small subunit ribosomal RNA", at positions 524 to 776 of the family's 1533-position model. The record is from RNAcentral.